CCUACGGGAGGCAGCAGUGGGGAAUAUUGGACAAUGGGGGAAACCCUGAUCCAGCAAUGCCGCGUGAGUGAUGAAGGCCUUAGGGUUGUAAAACUCUUUCGGCGGGGAAGAUGAUGACUGUACCCGCUAAAGAAGCUCCGUCUAACUUCGUACCAGCAGACGCGGUAAUACGAAGGGGGCUAGCGUUGUUCGGAAUUACUGGGCGUAAAGAGCGUGUAGGCGGUUUUGUAAGUUGGAGGUGAAAUCCCCGAGCUUAACUCGGGAACUGCCUUCAAUACUGCAUUACUAGAGUUCGAGAGAGGAUGGCGGAAUUCCAAGUGUAGAGGUGGAAUUCGUAGAUAUUUGGAAGAACACCAAAGGCGAAGGCAGCCAUCUGGCUCGUUUCUGACGCUGAGACGCGAAAGCGUGGGUAGCAAACAGGAUUAGAUACCCUGGUAGUCCACGCCGUAAACGAUGAGUGCUUGCUGUCGGGUUUUUACUCGGUGGCGAAGCUAACGCGUUAAGCACUCCGCCUGGGGAGUACGAUCGCAAGAUUAAAACUCAAAGGAAUUGACGG
RNAcentral lists this ribosomal RNA (556 nucleotides) under uncultured bacterium. Its description in RNAcentral is "bacterial SSU rRNA". It matches the Rfam family "Bacterial small subunit ribosomal RNA", at positions 338 to 916 of the family's 1533-position model. The record is from RNAcentral.